Molecule: ribosomal RNA, 240 nt
Filed under: uncultured bacterium
Lineage: Bacteria
Description: partial 16S ribosomal RNA
Rfam family: Bacterial small subunit ribosomal RNA
Source: RNAcentral
UGAGCAAUCUGCCCUUCUCUUCGGAAUAAGCGUUGGAAACGACGUCUAAUGCCGAAUACGACCUCCUUUCGCAUGAUCGGAGGUGGAAAGCUCCGGCGGAGAAGGAUGAGCUCGCGGCCUAUCAGCUAGUUGGUGUGGGUAAUGGCCCACCAAGGCGACGACGGGUAGCCGGCCUGAGGAGGGUGACCGGCCACACGUGGGACUGAGACACGGCCCAGACCUCCCGUACGGGAGGNAGCG